Non-coding RNA from Pelobates cultripes (western spadefoot toad), 335 nucleotides. The record is from the annotation of a GenBank genome assembly. Lineage: Eukaryota; Metazoa; Chordata; Amphibia; Anura; Pelobatidae.
GUCCAGUCCAGCCGGGGUUAAUGGGAUAUGUUAUGUCCAGUCCAGGAGUGGUUAAUGGGGUAAGUAAUGACCAGUCUAGCAGGGGUUAAUGGGAUAUGUAAUGUACAGUCCAGGAGGGGUUAUUAAUGGUGUAUGUAAUGACCAGUACAGGAGGGGUAAUGGUGUAGGUAAUGACCAGUCCAGGAGGGGUUAAUGGAGUAUGUAAUGACCAGUCCAGCAGGGGUUAAUGGUGUAUGUAAUGACCAGUCCAGCAGGAGUUAAUGGGAUAUGUAAUGACCAGAAGGGGUUAAUGGGAAAUGUAUUGACCAGUCCAGCAGCGGUUAAUGGGAUAUGUA